GCCCGGAUAGCCCAACGGGAGAGGCACGCGGCUCAGACCCGCGCCAGUGCGCGUUCGAAUCGCGCUCCGGGUA
RNAcentral lists this transfer RNA (73 nucleotides) under Cryptosporangium arvum DSM 44712. It matches the Rfam family "tRNA". From Rfam's summary of the family: Transfer RNA (tRNA) molecules are approximately 80 nucleotides in length. Their secondary structure includes four short double-helical elements and three loops (D, anti-codon, and T loops). Further hydrogen bonds mediate the characteristic L-shaped molecular structure. tRNAs have two regions of fundamental functional importance: the anti-codon, which is responsible for specific mRNA codon recognition, and the 3' end, to which the tRNAs corresponding amino acid is attached (by aminoacyl-tRNA synthetases). tRNAs cope with the degeneracy of the genetic code in two manners: having more than one tRNA (with a specific anti-codon) for a particular amino acid; and 'wobble' base-pairing, i.e. permitting non-standard base-pairing at the 3rd anti-codon position. Lineage: Bacteria; Bacillati; Actinomycetota; Actinomycetes; Cryptosporangiales; Cryptosporangiaceae. The record is from Rfam by way of RNAcentral.